CUGCAGCUAAUUAAGCUGACAGUGCUGCUCUCCUCCAGGCGUCCUGGUGUGCAAUGGCUGCAAACAGCAGCCUUCUUGGUAGUGUAUGCAGCCUGUUACUUGUAUGGGUUGCUUGAAGGAACUUGGAGACUGUC
Molecule: small nucleolar RNA, 134 nt
Organism: Nycticebus coucang (slow loris)
Lineage: Eukaryota; Metazoa; Chordata; Mammalia; Primates; Lorisidae
Product: small nucleolar RNA SNORA70
Exons: 1
Source: RefSeq, a predicted model, not a curated record